Molecule: transfer RNA, 75 nt
Filed under: Cloacimonas sp. (SeqCode)
Lineage: Bacteria; Pseudomonadati; Candidatus Cloacimonadota; Cloacimonadia (SeqCode); Cloacimonadales (SeqCode); Cloacimonadaceae (SeqCode)
Description: tRNA-Gln
Rfam family: tRNA
About the family: Transfer RNA (tRNA) molecules are approximately 80 nucleotides in length. Their secondary structure includes four short double-helical elements and three loops (D, anti-codon, and T loops). Further hydrogen bonds mediate the characteristic L-shaped molecular structure. tRNAs have two regions of fundamental functional importance: the anti-codon, which is responsible for specific mRNA codon recognition, and the 3' end, to which the tRNAs corresponding amino acid is attached (by aminoacyl-tRNA synthetases). tRNAs cope with the degeneracy of the genetic code in two manners: having more than one tRNA (with a specific anti-codon) for a particular amino acid; and 'wobble' base-pairing, i.e. permitting non-standard base-pairing at the 3rd anti-codon position.
Source: RNAcentral
UGGGUCGUCGCCAAGUGGUAAGGCACAUGGUUUUGGUCCAUGCAUACGGGGGUUCGAAUCCUCCCGGCCCAACCA